Corapipo altera (White-ruffed manakin) is the source of this 3140-nucleotide long non-coding RNA. RefSeq lists it as uncharacterized. The transcript has 2 exons. Lineage: Eukaryota; Metazoa; Chordata; Aves; Passeriformes; Pipridae. The record is from RefSeq and is a predicted model, not a curated record.
AGUAAGCUCACCUAAAAGAUAAUGGGGGGAAAAAUGGGAUCUUUAUAAAAUUAAUGCCUCUAUAUCUCUCACCUACACAGUCACAAUCAAUUUGUUUUUUAAUAAUCCACUACUUGACUCUAUUAAAGCCAAAUUUUUAUAUGUCAAACUCUUCUAGCUAUUCUGAAUGCUGUUUCCUGUCUUUACAAAGGAUAACCUGUACUGGCAUAUGGCAAAAGGAAAUGGGAAGGGUGCAGAAGUAAGUGACUUAAGGAAUGGGAGAAGGACUUGCAAAGGACAGUGUGGGACUGAUGAGCGUUGAGAGGUAGAAAUGGGACUGUUGCCAAGUGUACAUCAAACUACACUUGUGUGUUACACUUGAUCUGGUCUAAGAAAAGGUCUUUCUUGGAGGAGUGGUCAUGGCCUGUAACGGUCCAAAGCUAUCAUGAUCCCAGAUAUGGGUGCAAAAUCUGGAAUGAUUUAUUGAACACGUAAGUGCUAUUUAAGGGUCUCGGGGACUUACAUGCUAAUGAGGAGGCAGGGUUAUUCUGAACAGGGGUUUCCACAAUCUAUUAGCGUUUCCAGUAACAGGGGUGACAUAAGGGGAAAAAUGGAUUUACAUUUCUCAGAUACAGUAUUUACAUUUUGGGGUAAAAGGUUUGAUAUUUCCAGUAAGCAGGGUUACAUUGGGGAAGGGUGAUCAGCUUUUACCCCAAAGAAGGAUUUACACAGGGAGGGAGAAAACAAUGGGAUAUCUGAUAGCAUCAUGCAAAGUCUCUCUACAUCCUGCUGGGGGAGAUCAGGACAAUGGAUCUUGUCUGGUCUUUUAGAUGGUGGUUUUUCCUCAGCCCCUGUGGCCUAAGGUUUCCUGUUUAAUCCAAUCAGUUCCUUUUCUUUUGGUAUCCAGUUCAGACUGCAACAAUGGCCCUUCACUGGUAGUGGUACUGAUGAUUGAAGGGUGAGCUGGUUCAAUGUGCUAACCCGCUAGAAAAUUAACUUUUUAAAGAAGAUAAAUAGCUCACCUACAGAAGUUAACCAGUGAGAACACUGGUGAAUAAAAGAAGGGUGGAAGACAGGAACAUUAGGAUCUUGCUGUCACAGUCUUACUACUUUUCUUUCACAGUUUAUAAAGCUUUGGGGGCUGUGAGGUGCCACAUUUGGCUUAGAUCUUCUUAACUGACAUCUGUUGCAACCAGAUUUCAACCAAAUUCCUUUGCUAGUAAGUUUAGAGGAAACAGCCCCCCCAAGAUCACACCUUUUUUGGAUGUCUUUUGACUUUAAAUUACCACUCACUUUUUCUUUACAAAAAUAAAGCUGAUGUGUGAUCCCUCAGCCCUGAAGUCCAAACAGUAAACUGGACUGAUAAUGCUCCCGUAGCAUUAAGGUCCACCUUUUCUGGGCCUGAGUUAUAGCUGCUGGGUUCUAGAAGUACAAAGCCACUGCCUGAGAUUAUGUCAGGGUACUUGCUGACAAGCAGAGUAGUCAUAUCCAUAGAUGGAUACAAAAUACUUGAGAAUGUAAAUACGUUUAGUAGGAAGCAAAAAGGAUUCCUCCAUCCUUACUGUGUUGCAGGAAAGGGCUUUCGGAUUGCCAUUCAUUGAACAGACAAUGUAAAAAGCACUUUCCACAGGGAAGGAAUGAUGUACCAUAAAGACCAGAACAUCUUAAAGUCUCUAUUAUCCUUACUGAGAGCUCAGGUAACAGAAGAAGGUCUUGCCUUAUUUCUCCUAGGGAGUUACCUUGUACUAGACCCCCUGCAGAAUAAAGAUUUGAUACCUGGAAGAAUCAAUCCAUUUUCAACAGAAGAUGGCACUGCAUAAAUAGUCUUAAAUAAAAUAUGGAACUGUGUAUUGUUAGAGCUGCAUGAAGGCUACAGCCAAAUUCCUUUCAAAUUAUGAGAAUGAAGAAAACUAAACUGAUGAACUUCUGCAUCUUGUUAGCGUGCAAUCCAUUACCAGAACUGAACAGAGGAGAAGGCUAAUUUCUGGGCUGGGAGGCACUAUCUAACCUAGAGAUUAUCAAAUCUAGGUAGUUAUGUUCCUAAAUGUAUGAAGUUAUAUGGAAAACACUAUUGACCCUGGAAGAGGCUCCUACGAUGAAGUGGAUGUAAGAUGCCCUUGAAGUGUUGCAAAAAAGGAAUGUAGAGAAUAGCUUCAUGGUUAAUGAUUGCAGCUAUGAGCUGUGGGAGAGAAGGGAGACUCCAAUUAAAAUAACUACUGGGUUUUUUUUGUCAAAACAGGCACACAGAAAGUAAACAAUAGUAUCAGAAGGCCAGAAACUGAAUGGGUUUGCUGCUAAUGCUGACUGACCUGAUUUGCAGUGAAGAUGGGUCUGUUCUCCUUGAGGGUAGUGACCUUGUAAGCACAUGACCCAGUAUUUAUGACAACUGUAAUCUUUCACCAUAAAUGCUCAAUAGCUGCUACUGUGUAAUAACUCAGUGUUGCUCUAGAGAAACACACCAAGAGCUGCUGUAUAAAUAUGAAAUGGCAUUAGGUUUCAGAAAAGCAACUAUUAGUUGAACUAAUUAGGUUGUCCAGUGGCUCCAUCCAACUUUGAACACCAGAUCGCAGUAAAGACAGAGCUCUGUAGCUUUCAUAUCCCAGACAAGUUCCUGGGGAAAAUUUUUCAAGUAGAGCCACUGACAGCUGCUGUAAAAGGUGGAUAGGAGCAUCUUUAGCAUCUUCAGGUAAGAUUUACUACAUUGAUUUGCUGGUAUAUUCCUGGAGUGGGUGAGGUAGGCUGUGGUUAUUAGAUGAAAUAGAAUAAGUCAUUACCCAGUAAUUGCUGACUGUAUUCCAAUCUGUUAGCAAUACAUGUUUUUUCUCAUUUACCUCUAGCAUGUUUUCCAUCUGCGAUGACAGAAGCUGUAAAUAGCCCUCGAGGGAGAGAAGGGAAUCUACAUGGUUGCGGUUGCUCUGUGACAGAAGAAAAACAUGUUGUAAAGGACAGUUAUUUUACAUAAAAGGAGUUCCAGCUGAUCAUCUCCUCGGUGUGGACAGCAGUCAUCCAAAGCUUCCUGACACGCUUUCAGAUCAACAUCCUGAAGAUACAAACAAAACAGUUCUAUUACGUAACACACUGUCAAAAUCAAUCUUUAAAAUGCACUUUUUUCUUUUUUCUACAGCUAUAGCAUUUCAAAUAAAGAUAUACACUGAACAGGU